CGCCGCUCCGCCCCGCGUUCCGGCCCGAAGCCCCGGUGUCUCCCCGGGCCAGCCCCGGGGGUGAGCCGUGCAGGGACGGGGAUGGCCCGAAGGGAGCCGCGUCCCCUUGGAGCAGCCACGGAAGUGUCGGAGGGUGAGGGGGGGCACAGCCAGGC
This is a long non-coding RNA of Oxyura jamaicensis (ruddy duck), 155 nucleotides long. RefSeq lists it as uncharacterized. The transcript is spliced from 3 exons. Lineage: Eukaryota; Metazoa; Chordata; Aves; Anseriformes; Anatidae. The record is from RefSeq and is a predicted model, not a curated record.